CUGAACCACAAGGUGGUUCAAUUAAUUGCCCUACUUGCUGAUAAUCCAAACACUUCCAUCUGCUGUCAAAUGGAACAGGAGCUGCAGAUACUUACGACCUCCAUGAACCAAGCUGGCUGCAUCUGAUUUGCCCAGCCUCUGUAGUGAUUCUGCAACAGAACAGGAUGGAAGUCUAGGUAUCGAUGUAAGGAGGGAAACAGAGGAAAGACACUAAGGACUCAUGUGUUUCUUUACACUAGACUCCCUGGCAGUGGCACUGGUUUUUUUAGAUCUUCCUUGCUCAGCACUGCAGUUCCUCAAUGACUGAUGCAGAGAACUGGAAAUGCUGCACGGUGCUGAGAAACGUGGAUGUACUCACCUGCAUGUGAAAUGACCUGGGAGGAGAGGCAGCUCACACAUUGUCAGAGGGACUGCACCUACCUGUUGUCUAAUUCUUUGUAGUCCCACAGUGCAUCAGAGGAUAAUGCAUAUUUCACAUGGGGGUAAAUGAAUAUGUACUGAAAGGCUGCCUAUACUGUCCUGAUCGUUUUUGUGCCUGUCACCAGGCUUGUGGCCAAGCCACAGAGCUACUGAAAUCACAGCACAGAAACACUGCUGGACCCUUGGCAAGUUGGCAACAUCUGUGAAAAUGUUCUAUGGACUCGUGCACUCCAACAAGUUCUUUUCAGUGUUUAUGGAAGCCUUCCUCCAGAGACACCUGCCAGAUCUUGAUCCCUGCUCGAAGCCUCACUGCUGUGGCUAUGCACUGCUGUGGAUUACUGGGAUAAGAAGUGACCUUGGAAAAUGUGACUGCAAGUGGGAAAAGCCAGGAUGUUUUUCUGUAGAAAAAAGUUAACACUUCUUUUGCAUCUUGGUUUGUUACGAGUAACCAUACAUGGUUCAAGGUUCUUAGAAAACUAUUUUCUGUUAUCUUUGACAUACCUUAUAACGUAUUUCAAGCUUUGACACAAUGUGGCUGGUACAAUUUCAUGAAUGCUAUAGCAUGAAAUGGCUGAGCAGCUAAAGAACUGUUCUUUUUAAAUUGAGUUUUUCUAACAUUUUCAGAGCUGCAUGAAUGGAGACAAUCAGCAUAGUUAGGUUUGCUCAGAAGAGCACUUGAGUCUGCCUGCUUGUGACUCUGCCAAGCGGUGGGACUUGGAAUACCAGUACUGAGAUCCGUAGUUCAUUACUUUGUUUUUAGUUGUCUAAUGUUUCUGUAUUUCAGUAACAGCUGGGUUAGACCCACAAGUAUUGAUGACAGAGGGAGAUGUUCUGGCAGAGGAUUAGGCGUCAUGUCUCUCUACCACCUACCUUGAGGAACUAAAAGGAGCCAUUUGCAUGGCAGACCCUGUGUAGGCUGCAGCCAGUGGCAAUGCUUUCUUAAUAUGGUUAAUGCCUCAGGAAACUAGCAAAGGCAAUAGCAAGAUUAAAUGUGGCAUAUCUAUUGGAAGUAUUUGUUAGUAACAUCAUGGUUUACUUGAAAAAAAAGAUCCUACUUGCUUAUUGCAGAUUCUUUAUUGAUUAUAUCUGCUGGUUGUUUUUCCAGUUUGCAUAAAUGCUGCUUUUCUAAGUAUUGGUCUGCAUGUGAGGGCAAUGGGUGGAUUUUUGUGCAUAUUUUCCUGUUCAGUAAAGUUAACACUUAGCCUGUAAAUUCAUUCUGAAAACCUUGUUUUCAACUUGGGAUAGUGGUUGGGUGUUACAUGAAUAGUCAGCGUUUUCCUGUCCGUUUCUACUUGAUGUAUGACCCUAUGUAGAAUGGGACUUUUCUUAAUAUAGCAGUCAUUACUAUGAUAAAAUACUUUGAUUUGGGAAAAAAUAAUAAUUCCUGAGUGAUCUGUGAACUUAAAACACAUUGA
Molecule: long non-coding RNA, 1835 nt
Filed under: Anser brachyrhynchus (Pink-footed goose)
Lineage: Eukaryota; Metazoa; Chordata; Aves; Anseriformes; Anatidae
Description: lncRNA (ENSABRG00000015867.1)
Source: RNAcentral